RNAcentral lists this unclassified non-coding RNA (147 nucleotides) under soil metagenome. RNAcentral describes it as "partial internal transcribed spacer 1". The record is from RNAcentral.
CCGAGUUUACAACUCCCAAACCCCUGUGAACAUACCAAUUGUUGCCUCGGCGGAUCAGCCCGCUCCCGGUAAAACGGGACGGCCCGUCAGAGGACCCCUAAACUCUGUUUCUAUAUGUAACUUCUGAGUAAAACCAUAAAUAAAUCA